This 1255-nucleotide long non-coding RNA is filed under the name Homo sapiens (human). RNAcentral describes it as "HSALNT0154391". Lineage: Eukaryota; Metazoa; Chordata; Mammalia; Primates; Hominidae. The record is from RNAcentral.
UGAAUCUCUUGGAUCAUAUUAAAAUGCAGAUUCUGUUCCAGUUUUUAGACCAUUUGGCUUGCUGAAUUCAACACCUCUUCCAAUGCCUGCUUCUCCCAAAGAAUCUACUCACAGAAAGAGUUAAAGAGAAAUGUAGACUUUACUAAAUAUUUCAUAGAGGAGACCUAGGAGGAGGUUGACACAGCACACUGCUCAGCAGAUGACUUAAAAUUUUCCCUUAGCCAUUUUUGUUCUCUCAAGUCCCUUUCAUCCAUACCACCACUGCUGAUUUGUUCUUUCUUUUUUUCUUUUAAAUCUUUUCUAGCUUUCCUUCUGACAAACUUUGCUGGAGUCCUACUCCUUUUCUCUCCUUCUUGAGAAAAAUGCAAAUUUUGCUCCAUGUUUUGGUAUAGCAGGGAAGCUUCCAUCUUUUUUUACUGAAGCAUAACAUCAGGGCCUACAUUCCAUCUCAAACGGCUUGUCAAGGUCCUUCCACAAAUAAGAUGUUCCUCCAAAGAUGAUGUACAGAUGCCAAGUUGGAUAUAGCUAGAGAAAUCUCAUGGCUACCCCAAUCAGGAGAGAGGUUGCUGUUUCUCAGAAGUCCUCCUCCCCACUUCCAGGGUCAUCAUUGUCUCUCAACAACUUUGUGGGGAUAUAAAAACCCUCGCGGAACUGGUUUUCUGAGAGGUGUUUGAAGCAGGAAUAUAUUAUGCAGGGGAUGGAGCAGCCAUUCCCUGGCUAGAUGACCACAUCACUGUUGCACACUGAUUGUUUGCUAAAGGCACAAUGCUUUCCUGACCAGAAAUGAAAAAUGCCUGCUGCUCAAUUAUUGUCAAUCUAACUGGAAUAGAGUCAGGCCUCGUCAGAUGGUUUCCCAAACACCCAGAUGGUCUCUUAGAUUCUGGAUGGUCAGUGUGGUAGUUCUUUCCAUUACAUCCUUGAGAUCCUGCUGUUCACACCAUUCAGCAGGGCACCCUGAACCUUGUCCCCAUAUUCUGGCUCUGCUGAGAUGAGAUGCAGUCAGGUGUUACUAGUGUCUUCAAUUAUAUACUGGGGUAGGGGGGCCUUAUUUUGGUUGGAGAGCUUCCAAAAUUGUGUCUGGAAUCUCAGUUCCCAGGGUCUGGUCUUCUGAGAUGGAAGAGGUUUUGAAGCAAUUCAAACCCAGUCCUUUCAUUUUCUAGACUUGGAUCCUGAGUUCCAGGGAGGGGAAGGUAUAGUGAAUUCUUAUAAUUUUAUGUUGCCUUGGCAACCAUUUUGUAUACAAGUUUAAUUUCUC